UGGGUGACCUGAUCUUGAUCUG
This 22-nucleotide non-coding RNA is filed under the name Arabidopsis thaliana (thale cress). The record is from RNAcentral. Lineage: Eukaryota; Viridiplantae; Streptophyta; Magnoliopsida; Brassicales; Brassicaceae.